UACGAAGGGGGCUAGCGUUGCUCGGAAUUACUGGGCGUAAAGCGCACGUAGGCGGCUUUGUAAGUCGGGGGUGAAAUCCUGGAGCUCAACUCCAGAACUGCCUUCGAUACUGGAAAGCUCGAGUCCGGGAGAGGUGAGUGGAACUGCGAGUGUAGAGGUGAAAUUCGUAGAUAUUCGCAGGAACACCAGUGGCGAAGGCGGCUCACUGGCCCGGUACUGACGCUGAGGUGCGAAAGCGUGGGGAGCAAACAGG
RNAcentral lists this ribosomal RNA (253 nucleotides) under uncultured bacterium. Its description in RNAcentral is "partial 16S ribosomal RNA". It matches the Rfam family "Bacterial small subunit ribosomal RNA", at positions 524 to 776 of the family's 1533-position model. The record is from RNAcentral.